GAUGAACGCUGGCGGCGUGCCUAAUACAUGCAAGUCGAGCGAACAGACGAGGAGCUUGCUCCUCUGACGUUAGCGGCGGACGGGUGAGUAACACGUGGAUAACCUACCUAUAAGACUGGGAUAACUUCGGGAAACCGGAGCUAAUACCGGAUACUAUAUUGAACCGCAUGGUUCAAUAGUGAAAGACGGUUUUGCUGUCACUUAUAGAUGGAUCCGCGCCGCAUUAGCUAGUUGGUAAGGUAACGGCUUACCAAGGCAACGAUGCGUAGCCGACCUGAGAGGGUGAUCGGCCACACUGGAACUGAGACACGGUCCAGACUCCUACGGGAGGCAGCAGUAGGGAAUCUUCCGCAAUGGGCGAAAGCUUGACGGAGCAACGCCGCGUGAGUGAUGAAGGUCUUCGGAUCGUAAAACUCUGUUAUUAGGGAAGAACAAAUGUGUAAGUAACUAUGCACGUCUUGACGGUACCUAAUCAGAAAGCCACGGCUAACUACGUG
This 497-nucleotide ribosomal RNA is filed under the name uncultured bacterium. Its description in RNAcentral is "partial 16S ribosomal RNA". It matches the Rfam family "Bacterial small subunit ribosomal RNA", at positions 28 to 507 of the family's 1533-position model. The record is from RNAcentral.